GGCCUUCGGGUUGUAAACCUCUUUCGCCCGGGACGAAGAGGACGGGACGGGACCUGCAGAGGA
Molecule: ribosomal RNA, 63 nt
Filed under: uncultured bacterium
Lineage: Bacteria
Description: partial 16S ribosomal RNA
Source: RNAcentral